This 498-nucleotide ribosomal RNA is filed under the name uncultured bacterium. RNAcentral describes it as "bacterial SSU rRNA". It matches the Rfam family "Bacterial small subunit ribosomal RNA", at positions 336 to 829 of the family's 1533-position model. The record is from RNAcentral.
CUCCUACGGGAGGCAGCAGUAGGGAAUAUUGGGCAAGUGGGGGCAACCUGACCCAGCCAUGCCGCGUAGAAGGAAGAAGGCCCUCUGGGUUGUAAACUUCUUUUGUAUGGGGCUAAGAUGGUAUAAGAAUAUAUUAUUUGAAGGUACCAUAAGAAUAAGCCACGGCUAACUACGUGCCAGCAGCCGCGGUAAUACGUAGGUGGCAAGCGUUGUCCGGAUUUACUGGGUUUAAAGGGUGCGUAGGCGGGAUUAUAAGUCAGUGGUGAAAUUCGGUUGCUUAACGAUACGAGUGCCAUUGAUACUGUAGUUCUAGAGUAAAGUUAAGGUAUGUGGAACGACUGGUGUAGCGGUGAAAUGCAUAGAUAUCAGUCAGAACACCGAUUGCGAAGGCAGCGUACUGAGCUUUUACUGACGCUGAGGCACGAAAGUGCGGGUAUCAAACAGGAUUAGAUACCCUGGUAGUCCGCACUGUAAACGUUGGAUACUAGCUGUUGGGGC